AGUACGAGAGGACCGGGGUGGACGGACCACUGGUGUACCAGCUGUCAACCAAUGGCAUUGCUGGGUAGCCAAGUCUGGACGGGAUAAACGCUGAAGGCAUCUAAGCGUGAAGCCCCCCUCAAGAUGAGAUAUCCCUUCCUUUAAGGAAAUAAGAUCCCUUAUAGACUAUGAGGUUGAUAGGGCAGAGGUGGAAGUGCAGUAAUGUACGUAGCUGACUGUUACUAAUAGAUCGAAGGCUUAACCAA
This 245-nucleotide ribosomal RNA is filed under the name Lachnospiraceae bacterium. Its description in RNAcentral is "partial 23S ribosomal RNA". It matches the Rfam family "Bacterial large subunit ribosomal RNA", at positions 2680 to 2925 of the family's 2925-position model. Lineage: Bacteria; Bacillati; Bacillota; Clostridia; Lachnospirales; Lachnospiraceae. The record is from RNAcentral.